AGCAGCUUGACACCAUGUGGGAACAUCUAGAUAACAUUUCCAGCGUUCCUGGCCUCUGUCAUUAGUCUACAUACUUAAGACAUAUGGGGGUUAAUGGGACACACACCCAGCCUGUGAUUCAAAUCCAACAAUAGUGCUCUCAAUUAAACCAACAUUCAUGACACGUUUUAUGAAAAAAAAAAAAAAAGUUUAUUGAAUUAACAACUGUACAUGAUCAGUGCUGACACAGUUUGCUACAUACUUUGGUGUGAAUUUGCGAGAUUGUGAAAGGCAGGCGGGGCAGGUUUUGUAUUGUACUAAAUACUAAAGAAGAGUUUGCCGUGACCGGUUCUGCUGCGGCCCCAUGAAGCAGACUCCAGUUCCCACAGUUAAAACAGUCCACAUUUACACAAAAAGGGUUAGUCAGGAUCAGGUUUAAAAGAGCCGGUCUCUCUCGCUCUCGUAUGCCCACACACUUUCACACUUAGCUUCCAUCAAAGUCAGCGCAGGCAAAGAAUAUAUUCAUUAGAAAACUGGCUCAACUUGUACAGAAGCGAAUCCCCAAUUGGCUCCGAUCACUCAUGUAGAAGAAGGUUUACAUCAAUCUGUGAGUGAAAACAGGGCUGCAGGCUCAUUAGGGUGGGGCUCAACAGCAGAAGUAAGCUGUCAAUCACUGGGGUGAAUCAUAUCCCAUUUCAACAACAGCGAACUACAGUGGGGCCACUUAUGGGAUCAGUUGGAAAGUUACUCAUCGCAAUGUGCGAUCCACGCCGAGUCAGCAUGUUACAAUCACACUUCAUUAUCUGAAUUCAUCUUUCCAACAAGACGCCACACAAUGCAAAGUGCACAGAAAAGUAGUACAGUUAGUCAUUCUCCAGGUUUAAUAUCGCUGUCAAUUUACAAACAUCUCCUCACUCUCCUCUGGGCUGUUUCCAUCGUAUUCCGACUUCCGCAGGAUUCCAGUCUGAUCCCAUUUUCCAUGAACUGCACAUAGGCUCAAAAAGCAAAAAAAAAAAAACUAUUACCAAGAUUAUUCUGGAACAGGAAGGGUUUUUCCACGUGAGCCUUUUAGCAAAUGGCCAGCCCAGAGAGUGUGCUUACAAAAUCAAUAUUAAAAAGUGUGUCCUAAUCUACAUUCAUCAAGCAUUAAGGACAUGAGGACAAAGAAACCAUCACAA
Sinocyclocheilus anshuiensis is the source of this 1157-nucleotide long non-coding RNA. RefSeq lists it as uncharacterized. NCBI's taxonomy places the organism in Eukaryota, Metazoa, Chordata, Actinopteri, Cypriniformes, Cyprinidae. The record is from RefSeq and is a predicted model, not a curated record. The transcript has 2 exons.